This 497-nucleotide ribosomal RNA is filed under the name uncultured bacterium. RNAcentral's name for it is "partial 16S ribosomal RNA". It matches the Rfam family "Bacterial small subunit ribosomal RNA", at positions 28 to 507 of the family's 1533-position model. The record is from RNAcentral.
GAUGAACGCUGGCGGCGUGCCUAAUACAUGCAAGUCGAGCGAACAGACGAGGAGCUUGCUCCUCUGACGUUAGCGGCGGACGGGUGAGUAACACGUGGAUAACCUACCUAUAAGACUGGGAUAACUUCGGGAAACCGGAGCUAAUACCGGAUAAUAUAUUGAACCGCAUGGUUCAAUAGUGAAAGACGGUUUUGCUGUCACUUAUAGAUGGAUCCGCGCCGCAUUAGCUAGUUGGUAAGGUAACGGCUUACCAAGGCAACGAUGCGUAGCCGACCUGAGAGGGUGAUCGGCGACACUGGAACUGAGACACGGUCAAUACUACUACGGGAGGCAGCAGUAGGGAAUCUUCCGCAAUGGGCGAAAGCAUGACGGAGCAACGCCGCGUGAGUGAUGAAGGUCUUCGGAUCGUAAAACUCUGUUAUUAGGGAAGAACAAAUGUGUAAGUAACUAUGCACGUCUUGACGGUACCUAAUCAGAAAGCCACGGCUAACUACGUG